Molecule: long non-coding RNA, 431 nt
Organism: Mandrillus leucophaeus (drill)
Lineage: Eukaryota; Metazoa; Chordata; Mammalia; Primates; Cercopithecidae
Exons: 2
Source: RefSeq, a predicted model, not a curated record
UCACCUAGAUGAGCUGGUGGUGUGUGGUCAGGUUAAGAGCACAAAGAGAAGAAAGAAAGUGACAUCAUGCCUGGUUUUACCAUGUCCACUAGGGGAGUGGAUGAAAAGCUUUCCGUUGAUACAUCACCUCUGGGAUUUGAAGAAGAAUGCAAUUAAGAGAGCUAAAGAAGUCAGCAUAGGGUCUGAAAUUCAGAGGUCAAUUGAUGUCUCAAAGAUACCUCCACAAAUCAGUACCUUGAUCAAAACUAAAAUUGACGUCAUCUCCUUCACUUCACCUUUCUCACUCUUCAUUAGGACUCAUUGUACUCUUUUUCCCAUCACUCGCUUGCAAUCUAGAUUGCCUUAGUGGUGCAGUUACUUUUUAUAUAUUUGUUUUUGUUUUACAUACUGACAUUAAAGUUACAGAAAAAUCUAAAAAACACUGGUUGAAU